UUAACACCGUGCGAAGAAUAAUUCAUUCUCAUUCAAGUUCUUGGUGUUUUUUCCGUACUCUUGGCCCCAAAAAAUGAAACUUUGCACGCUUGUAAUGUUACUAUUCCCGAUUUGCGCAAGUUUGGGUGUGCGUUUGGAAUGUUACACUUGUUCAGACUGCGGCAAAACACCCGAUACUUGGAAUCAAACGACUUGUUCGUUGUUCAGUACAGAACAUUACCUUUGUGAACAUCGAAAAUUUAAUGGCACAGUUGUCAAAUCAUGUAUUUCAAACGUGAAGGAAGAAACGCUUUUGUGUGACAAGAUUAAUAAGAAGAAGAAAAAGGCGGACGAGUUCUGUUUUUACUGCGAGAGAGAUCUUUGCAAUGUUGUUAAUUCGGCUAAAGUUCGUGUGGAAUCCUGUGUUGUUUUGUUGUUUGUUGCUGUUAUAGUAUUUGUUUAUUGAAUAAAUUUGCAUUUUUCGUGUUUCUUGCUAUGCAAACAGACUGAUUCAUGUAAGACGACGCGCCUUCCAAAAGCGUGAACGCAACACAAAAUACACCAAAAUGCUUGCCCAACUACAACACGUUGUGAUCACAAAUAAUAGAAUUCAGUGAUUACUGAUAAGAUUAGGUAACGAUUUUCGAUCCAAUUCUCCGUAUUUUUUUGGCCGUACUGUUAUUCCCAAAAAAUGAAAUAUUUCACAUUUGUGAUAUUAUUAUGCGUUGUUUCCGCAAGUUUGGGUGUGCGUUUGGAAUGCUACACUUGUUCUAAUUGUGGGAAAACCUCCGAUACUUGGGACAAGACAAUCUGCUCGUUGCCCGGCAAAGAGAAUUUCCUUUGUGAACACAAACGACAAAAUGGUGUGGUUGAAAAAAAAUGUGUUUCAAACGAAAGAGCUGAAAUAGAGAAGUGUGAUGCCGUCAAUAAGAAUAAGGACGAUUACUGUUUUUAUUGUGAGAGAGAUCUUUGCAAUGUUAAUUCGGCUCAAAUCCAUAUUGGAUCCGUUAUCGUGCUAUCGCUUGGUGCAAUUAUGAGAUUUGUACUUUGAAAGAUUUAUGACACCAGUAAAAUAUACAACUAACAAUGCUCAAAGUACUUUUUAUCUAUUGUACACUAACUCAGUGAUGUAAAUAAAUAAAACACAUUAAUAAAUUUGUGUUUUCUUGGGUUGAGUUUGGGAUCUGAUGAAAUGUGAAGCUCCUUUAAUAAGAAAAAUAAUAUAUUUCAUAUCAACAAUGAAUCCACUGUCUAUUACAAAAAUUGUAACACUUUGCACUAAAAAAAAACGCUAUCUGAUUCCUCUAAUUAUGACGAUUGUGCUUAGUCAAUAAGUCAAUAAGAAUUUUCGAACAGUGAUGAUAUAUUGAUUUGUGUACACAGUUAUCUAUUUAUCUCACUUCUAAAAAUACUUGUAACACCUGCAAUUUGGGUGGGGUUACAAAACAGAGACACAUUGACAGUUAUUGUAACUCUUGUUUGUAGAAGUGCCAUUUUCUUGCGUUACACUAACUAAGGAACGUGGCAAAAGAAAAAAACUUUUCUAAAAAUAAAAAUUUUUCGUUAUUUUUUAAUUAAUAAUUAAUUGAAGGGCUUAAUAGAUGAAAGAGCUAUGUAACAUUUUUUUGAAAAUUGACUUUUUCACAAAUUUGAAUUAUUUUAAUAACAUUUAAUUAAAAUAUGCUUAACACAUUUGUAUUUUUCUGUAAAAUUUUCAAUUAGUUCUUGCUAAAACCUCAUUUACAAGUACAGUAAAACCUUCCUUAAUAGACACUUCUUCACCACGGACAUCAUUGUAGGGACGAAAGAAAUACAUUAAAACAACCUCUCUACAACGGACUCUCUGUAUACCGGACGUGGGUAGAAAUGGAUGAAAAAAUGUAUACCGAAAAUCGUGAAUUAAAUAUCGAUGAAUGUUUGACGAAAAGAAUGAUGAAGACGAUAGUUAUAAAGAGAAAACUUGCUUUAGCACCACGCUGACUAAAUAUUUUAAAGUUUUCUUUAUAAAAAUAUUUUUGCUGAUGUUUUAAAUUUGAAUAUCUCUCCACAACGGACAGUUAAAAGAUUUCUCAUCGCUGUCCGUUGUUAAGAGGUUUUACUGUAUUAUAGAUGUUCCUGCAUAAUAUAAAAAUAAAUUAACCCUUUGUAUAUGUUUUUUUAUUUCAAAAAGUAUUUAUGAAUAAAAAAGUGACGUACACAUUUAACUUAAUUCUACUGGAAUUUCCUUUUUUUUGUUUAACAAAGUGAAACUUUGUUAUUAUUGUGCCUAAAAAUCGACACAAAUAUUUCGUCCUUCGACUGAUAAUAAAAAGUUAAUACCUAUCAUCUUUUUUAUCAGUAUCUCUGGAAUCUGUUUCAAAAUCUGCUUAACAAGUUGUUGCCGAAACAUUUUAUCCCUUUAUUUUCAAUCAUUAUUCGAAGAAUUAUAAUCAAGUAUUAGUCGUUUUGAUAAUGAUUCACACUAAUUAAAACAAAACAAAAGGUUUUGGACCGAAUUCGCCUAUAAAUAAAAAAGUGUUUCCUCUGUUCACUUAGUACAAAAUGAAGUUUUUCGGCGCAAGUCUCUGCUUCACCUUUUUCCUAAUUUUUUCAAUAGUUGGGGCAAUAAAGGCGGUCAAAUGUUACGAGUGUGUUUAUAAUUGCCAUUCACCGGUAAAUGUGACUUGCCAUGACAAACACAACGACGAUUUUCUCUGUUUUUCGGCAAAGUUUCCUUUAGGUGGAAAAAUGAUGAAUCUCAAAGGAUGUGUCCUAGCCGAUGAUCAGGACUUCAAGGAUAGUUGUACGGCCCUUAACCAGGUUGAAAACGACUCUUGCUAUGUGUGUGGUAGCGAUUUUUGUAAUUUAUUGUAACACACAUUUUUAAAUAAAAAAAUUCAAAAGUCAA
This is a long non-coding RNA of Tribolium castaneum (red flour beetle), 2866 nucleotides long. RefSeq lists it as uncharacterized. The record is from RefSeq and is a predicted model, not a curated record. The transcript is spliced from 6 exons. Lineage: Eukaryota; Metazoa; Arthropoda; Insecta; Coleoptera; Tenebrionidae.